UACGUAGGUGGCAAGCGUUGUCCGGAUUUACUGGGCGUAAAGAGCGCGCAGGCGGCCAAGUAAGUCGAAUGUGAAAGCCCCCGGCUUAACUGGGGAGGGUCAUUCGAUACUGCUCGGCUCGAAGACAGGAGAGGGAAGCGGAAUUCCCGGUGUAGUGGUGAAAUGCGUAGAUAUCGGGAGGAACACCAGUGGCGAAGGCGGCUUUCUGGCCUGUUCUUGACGCUGAGGCGCGAAAGCUAGGGGAGCAAACGGG
This 253-nucleotide ribosomal RNA is filed under the name uncultured bacterium. Its description in RNAcentral is "partial 16S ribosomal RNA". It matches the Rfam family "Bacterial small subunit ribosomal RNA", at positions 524 to 776 of the family's 1533-position model. The record is from RNAcentral.